UACGUAGGGUCCGAGCGUUGUCCGGAAUUACUGGGCGUAAAGCGCGCGCAGGCGGCCCGCGAGGUGUCACGUGAAAGCCCCGGGCUCAACCCGGGGAGGGUCGUGGCAAACCGGCGGGCUCGAGGCCGGUAGAGGUGGGUGGAACUCCUGGUGGAGUGGUGAAAUGCGUAGAGAUCAGGAAGAACACCCGUGGCGGAAGGCCGGCCCACUGGGCCGGUACUGACGCUGAGGCGCGAAGGCGUGGGGAGCGAACGGG
Molecule: ribosomal RNA, 256 nt
Filed under: uncultured bacterium
Lineage: Bacteria
Description: partial 16S ribosomal RNA
Rfam family: Bacterial small subunit ribosomal RNA
Source: RNAcentral